UGAAAAGCAGCCGCGGCCGUGCCGGUUGCCCCGUGCCGGUUGGGUGGUAUCGGUUGGCCGGGGGGACGCGGGACAACGGUGCGGCCUUCACCCGGUGGCGGCGGUCGGGCUCGCCCAGCGCGGCCUGGGCUCUCAGCCUGAUAGGAGUGUUGCAGUGUGACUUUGCUGAUGAAUAAGACUUCUGGAUCCUGACAGCACAGGAUGGAACUUACUGACAAUGAGAAAUUUCCCAGACCGUCCUAUAUUGAUACUGUUGAACUGCCUCAAAGAAAAGGACCAGUGGAUGUGGAAGAUAUUAAAGCAAAUCUCUCUGCUGACUUUUCUUUGCUUUCUUCAAGCUCAGACCCAAGCCGGAGGAGCAGUUUGGAGCCUAAGGGACACAUACAAGUUUGCCUGCGUGUUAGGCCAUUUACACCGUUGGAAAGAGAAAAUGAAUUGCAGGGCUGCGUUUCACUUGAAGAUUCAACAAGUGUCAUACUGAAGCACCCCAAAACUUCUCUGAGUCGACUGAGUGAAAAAGCUGUUGGACAGAUGCAGAAGUUCACUUUUUCACGAGUGUUUGGACCUGAAACAACUCAAGAAGAAUUUUUUGAAGGUGCCAUGAAGCAACCAGUGCAAGAUUUCUUAGAUGGAUACAAUCGUCUUAUUUUUACAUAUGGCGUUACAAAUGCUGGGAAAACCUACACAUUCCAAGGU
Calidris pugnax (ruff) is the source of this 696-nucleotide long non-coding RNA. RefSeq lists it as uncharacterized. NCBI's taxonomy places the organism in Eukaryota, Metazoa, Chordata, Aves, Charadriiformes, Scolopacidae. The transcript has 6 exons. The record is from RefSeq and is a predicted model, not a curated record.